This 450-nucleotide ribosomal RNA is filed under the name uncultured bacterium. RNAcentral describes it as "partial 16S ribosomal RNA". It matches the Rfam family "Bacterial small subunit ribosomal RNA", at positions 338 to 795 of the family's 1533-position model. The record is from RNAcentral.
CCUACGGGUGGCUGCAGUGGGGAAUUUUGGACAAUGGGGGCAACCCUGAUCCAGCCAUGCCGCGUGAGUGAAGAAGGCCUUCGGGUUGUAAAGCUCUUUCGGCCGGGAGGAAAUCGCAUAGGUUAAUACCCUGUGUGGAUGACAGUACCGGAAUAAGAAGCACCGGCUAACUACGUGCCAGCAGCCGCGGUAAUACGUCGGGUGCGUGCGUUGAGCGGAAUUAGUGGGCGUGAUUUGUGCAGAGGGGGGUGAAAUCCCCGGGCUCAACCUGGGAACUGCGCUUGUGACUGGAAGGCUAGAGUAUGGCAGAGGGGGGUGGAAUUCCACGUGUAGCAGUGAAAUGCGUAGAGAUGUGGAGGAACACCGAUGGCGAAGGCAGCCCCCUGGGCCAAUACUGACGCUCAUGCACGAAAGCGUGGGGAGCAAACAGGAUUAGAUACCCUAGUAGUC